Molecule: long non-coding RNA, 1166 nt
Filed under: Calidris pygmaea (Spoon-billed sandpiper)
Lineage: Eukaryota; Metazoa; Chordata; Aves; Charadriiformes; Scolopacidae
Description: lncRNA (ENSCPGG00000017200.1)
Source: RNAcentral
UAUCUAGUUUUUAGCUUUGUUCAUGCCUGUUGUUACUAUUCAGAGAUGCUGGAUUUGUAGAAAACUCAAGCAACAAAGACUUUCCAGCUCUCCUGAAAUGGUCUGCUGUCUAAUUCCUUGCAUCGCCUCAAGGAGUUCUACUCAGUUGAUGAAACUUAAUUUCUGACUUGUUCAGCACACAAAGAAAAACGUUUUGAAAAACACCAAGAAAAUUCAUUUUAAGAAAACUGUUUUAAAUGCAAUUUUAGAAGAAAUCUGAGAGUUGUUAUUUCUUAAGGAAUGUUUGUGCUUCUAUCUUGUAUUUUUUGUAUAUUGAGCUGUUAUUUAAACAGGAGAUCCUGUAUAUUUAUAGUGUAAAUUCUGACUGUUGUAAUAGGUUUGUUGUUGCUGUAGUAAAGGGUAUGUGUGUUUAUGUACUAUAAAUAGUACCUUUAAUUAAAGGUAUAAUUUUAAUCCUAGCUGUGGCCUUGACCAGUAGUUACAUCACCUGCAGUUGAAACUCCAUUAAAAUCAAUGGGAAAGACAUUAAUUAGUGUGAAUUCUUAGGUCUGAUAGACUUCAUGAAAUGUCUGUCUUAGCUUUUCUGCUUGUAAACGAGAAAAUAUUUAAACUUGUGCUCCCCUUUUUAAAUUUGGUAUUUUAAAGCAAAUUUUAAAGAUUGUCAAAUUAAAUGAUGUAGCUUGUUGUUUGAAUAUAUGCUGCCUUUGCUGUGUAUUCUGAUUCUGACCCUGAUUCUGAAAAAGCUAUUGAAGGUUCAUCUGAUCUGGAUUACGAUGGUGGCUGGGGUAAAAGUCAGGUUGCUUUUUGCAUAGUAGUGAUUUAUGGUUUUAAGGUGAUAAUAAUUCUUUUUAGUAGUUCAUUCUAUGCUGGCUGUACUCAAUCGACUUGGAUUUCAUAGAUUUUUUUUUUGUAUUUUUUUGUUUUCUUAAAGGCCCUCAUAUGUUAACAAAACAAGGCUGAGGAUGCCCCAGCCCCCCAGUUGGACUGGCAUAUGUAGGAAAAGAAAGUUGUUCAAGGUUGAGUAGGUUCUGAUAAGACCCAUUUAUCUGUGCUAGAACCAAUUGUGAGAACUCCUGGCUCAUGGCACGAAGAGCCAGCUGCCCACCCUCAAAGGUCAGGCUGGCACACGACUGCAAAAUUCUCUGUGCACAGUGAAAUAGAGGCAU